GACGAAAGUCUGACCGAGCAACGCCGCGUGAGUGAAGAAGGUUUUCGGAUCGUAAAGCUCUGUUGUAAGUCAAGAACGUGUGUGAGAGUGGAAAGUUCACACAGUGACGGUAGCUUACCAGAAAGGGACGGCUAACUACGUGCCAGCAGCCGCGGUAAUACGUAGGUCCCGAGCGUUGUCCGGAUUUAUUGGGCGUAAAGGGAGCGCAGGCGGUCAGGAAAGUCUGGAGUAAAAGGCUAUGGCUCAACCAUAGUGUGCUCUGGAAACUGUCUGACUUGAGUGCAGAAGGGGAGAGUGGAAUUCCAUGUGUAGCGGUGAAAUGCGUAGAUAUAUGGAGGAACACCAGUGGCGAAAGCGGCUCUCUGGUCUGUCACUGACGCUGAGGCUCGAAAGCGUGGGUAGCGAACAGGAUUAGAUACCCUGGUAGUCCACGCCGUAAACGAUGAGUGCUAGGUGUUAGGCCCUUUCCGGGGCUUAGUGCCGGAGCUAGCGCAAUAAGCACUCCGCCUGGGGAGUACGACCGCAAGGUUGAAACUCAAAGGAAUUGACGGGGGCCCGCACAAGCGGUGGAGCAUGUGGUUUAAUUCGAAGCAACGCGAAGAACCU
This 606-nucleotide ribosomal RNA is filed under the name Streptococcus mutans. RNAcentral's name for it is "bacterial SSU rRNA". It matches the Rfam family "Bacterial small subunit ribosomal RNA", at positions 374 to 971 of the family's 1533-position model. Lineage: Bacteria; Bacillati; Bacillota; Bacilli; Lactobacillales; Streptococcaceae. The record is from RNAcentral.